Molecule: ribosomal RNA, 275 nt
Filed under: uncultured bacterium
Lineage: Bacteria
Description: partial 16S ribosomal RNA
Rfam family: Bacterial small subunit ribosomal RNA
Source: RNAcentral
UACCGGGGGGUGAAGCGUUAAUCGGAAUUACUGGGCGUAAAGCGCGCGUAGGCGGCUUCGUCAGUUGGAUGUGAAAGCCCCGGGCUUAACCUGGGAACUGCAUUCAAUACUGCGGAGCUAGAGUAUGGUAGAGGAUAGUGGAAUUCCAGGUGUAGCGGUGAAAUGCGUAGAUAUCUGGAGGAACAUCAGUGGCGAAGGCGACUGUCUGGACCAAUACUGACGCUGAGGUGCGAAAAGCGUGGGGGAGCAAACAGGAUUAGAUACCCGCGUAGUCC